UACGUAGGUGGCGAGCGUUGUCCGGAAUUACUGGGCGUAAAGGGUGCGUAGGCGGUUUUUUAAGUGGGAUGUGAAAUCCCUGGGCUCAACUCAGGAAUUGCAUUCCAAACUGGAAGACUAGAGUGCAGGAGAGGAAAGUGGAAUUCCCAGUGUAGCGGUGAAAUGCGUAGAGAUUGGGAGGAACACCAGUGGCGAAGGCGACUUUCUGGACUGUAACUGACGCUGAUGCACGAAAGCGUGGGGAGCAAAC
This 250-nucleotide ribosomal RNA is filed under the name uncultured bacterium. RNAcentral's name for it is "partial 16S ribosomal RNA". It matches the Rfam family "Bacterial small subunit ribosomal RNA", at positions 524 to 773 of the family's 1533-position model. The record is from RNAcentral.